CUUCGGUAAACGUUACUUAUGUGCGUCUCAUAAAUCAGGUGUCUGAGUUCUCAGGCUGUGGCUGCAGUCUACCAUUGAAUUACAUCCCGUGAGCAAUGUUGUCCGAUUUCACCGGCCAGCACGUUCUUCUCGAGUGUGGGAUUGGUUUUUGCAAGACCUCGAAAGGAUUUUGAUAAGCCACCUGCUUAAGGCCGGCUGAAAAAGAAGAAAGGAGGGCAUAUGUGGGUCAGCUCACUCGGAAUAGAAGAGGAAUCAGCCAUUCAAGGUAGGGGCCAUUGUCAUCUCCAGUUGGCCAAUUAGAAAAUUGAGUGCUGAGACCCGGAGUCGCCUGUCUGAGGUCACACAGCUGGUCAGUAGGGCCUGGAUUCAAACCCAGGCAGUCUGAUUCAAGAGCCUGAUUGAGAUCCUGUGCUUCUGUCUGCUCUCUUCUGCUGCACCUGUCCCCACGCGAUGAAUGACAAAGCCAGGCUCAGAGAAGUUAACCAGCUUGUCGGAGAAGACCUAGGUGGUGGUUACAGUGCUACGCCAGGAACCUUGGUCUGCAUGGACCCCAGAGGCCGUGCUCACAGCCAUGCAGCUGACUGGCCUCCCACGCUUGCUGGAGGAGCUACAGCUGCUUUUCUUGUGCACGUGCAACAGUGGAAGUGAUGGCUGACUGUGUGUUGGCUCCAUAAGAAGAACAUCACAGAAAGCAAAAUGGUGCCAGCUCAACACCAGUAUCCUCGGACUCUUCAGACAGAAAAACCUGUUAAUUCCAAUCACAAUUCAUUCUUUCAUUCAGCUCAUGGAAGCCAAGCAGGGCUUUGGGACAUUCAUUCUGGCAAAGUGAAACAACUGACUUUUUGUGAAUGCUAUUUAAGUUGUUUAAAUUUUCCACAUUGGAAAUAAAGUCAUUGCAUUUUUGUGAGGAUAAAACACAAAUUGUGGUGGAGUCCAGCGUCAUGGUAACAAUAAUAUUCCUACUAAAUUAAGACACUAAUGAAACAGAAAUGUGAUUGGAACAGGUCAUGGUGCACACACAAUUUGUUAUUGCAUAUAAAUAAAUGUCAAUAUUCUAUAAAUUGACAUUUAUAGACGUACGUGACAAAAUUUACAAAAUGUUAAAACAUAUGCACAGAUUUACUGAACUACAAACUUGUGAUAAAGUUGUUCAUGAAUUUUUUUAAAAAACUGGACUUUCACAUGUGUUUUCUCUUUUAUUUUCCCAUUAUCAAUCAAUUUUAGUGGACAUUGAGUCUCAGCAUCCUAAAAUGUUAUUAAACAGUGUAUUAAAACAGAUCUAUAAAUUUUCGUUGAAUUUUGUUCCAAAUCAGUUGGAAAUAUUUAGUCAAGUUAUUCAAUGAAUAGAGCAGCAAAACGUCAACUUUCAAAGCUUUUAGUGAAUUAUAAAUAUUGAAAACAAAGCUGGUAUGCAGAAAAAUUAUAAAAUGUAUCAGAAAAUGAUCAAAAUCAAAUGCUGUACAAGAGUUAAUUUUGAAAUUCUAAAAUGAGCUCUGGAACAUUUCAGCUUGUGGGAAGAAUCUUUUUAAUUGGAUAAAUUCAUGUUCUGUAUGAAAUGAGAUGAAAUUGAGAAAGCCAAUGAUUUUUUUUUUUUUUGCAGUAUCUGAAUCUGACAAAACAUUCAAAACUUAUAAGUAGGUACAACUUAUUUGAAAGGUUUAAUCUGGUUAAAAAAAAAUACGUGUGGGCUGGGCACGGUGUGGCUCAUGCCUGUAAUCCCAGCACUUUGGGAGGCUGAGGCAGGUGGAUCACAUGAGGUCAGGAGUUCAAGACCAACCUGGCCAACAUGGUGAAACUUUGUCUCUACUGAAAACACAAAAAUUAGCCGGGCAUGGUGGCAGGCGCCUGUAAUCCCAGCUACACAGGAGGCUGAGGCAGGAGAAUUGCUUGAACCUGGGAAGCGGAGGUUGUGGCGAGCCAAGAUCGCACCACUACAUUCCAAACUAAGGCACAAAGACAGCACCUGUGAAAAUAUCUGGGCUAAAAUAUUUAUGCAAUUCCAUAUGCAAAGAAUUGGACUUGAGAACAGCCUCUGCCUGGCAGAAUUUGCUGAGAGCUUAUCACUCAGAACCUGCACAGGGAACAUUUUCUCAAUAUAUUAUGGUUCAAGAGAAGAGUCAAUUGAAGGUACUAAUUUAAAUUUGUUAAUUGUAAAAUUUGUGGAAAAAAGAUUUCAGGCAAUUAUAUGGAAAAAUUAAAAAUAACAAGACCCCACUGAAGAAAAUACAUUCUUGUGAAAAAUGCCAGUGACAGGGUAUCAGUCAGGUACAAGAAACUGUAGCAUGUGAAUAUACAACAAGAACAAUUAUUUUGCUUAUCUUAUUUUUAAAUGUUCAGUUGAUUAACAUAAACAUGUUUUCUUUUGCUUUAAUAUUCAUAGGUGUAUGCAUAUAUAUUUAAAGACUUUUUUGAAAAUAGUUUUUAUCUAGAACUACUUUAUAACACCAUCAAUAUAAUAUAACCAUUUUGUUGGAUUUUUUCCCCUUCCUUCCUUCCUUCCCUUCAUUCCCUCCUUCUCUCCUUCCCUCCCUACCCUCCUUCCCUCCUUCCUUCCUUCCUUCCUCCAUCCCUCCCUUCCUCCCUCCCUUCUUCCCUCCCUCCCAUCCUGCUUUCCUUCCUUCCUUCCUUCCCUUCCUUCUUUCCUUCCUUCCUUCUUUCCUCUCUCUUUCUACCUGUAAAUACUAAUUUUUGGGGGAAAUAAUUUUUGACUAUUGGGGUGCCCCGGCAGUGUGCACACACAUGGCCUGACCAUCCCUCUCCUAGCUAUCUCUGAUGAUGGCCAGGAAGCUGAGGUCUAUGGUGACAGAGGCUGGCAGGUGGGAAUCUGUAGAAUUCCCCGGCGAUUGGUUGGGAUUUCUCAGGGAGAAAGGAGGCGAGGUCCUGACCUGUGGUGGAGGGGCUGGGGCAUUGAGAGUUUGAGAAGAGAUGGGAGGGUGUUGAGCACUGAUAUGGUUUGGCUGUGUCCCCACCCAAAUCUCAUCUUGAGUUGUAGCUCCCAUAAUUCUCUCGUGUUGUGUGAGGGACUUGGUGGGAGAUAAUUGAAUCAUGGGGAUGGAGAACAAAGCCAAGCCAAUAUCUUGACUUUAGCUCAGCGAGACUGAGUUUGAACUCCUGAUCUCCAGAACUGUAAGAUAAUAACUUGCAUCGUUUUAAGCCACUCACUUUGUGAUAAUUAAUUAUAGCAGCCUUAGGAAACCAGCACGGGGGUGAGGCUGCACCCUGCCCAGGAAGCCAGAGACGACCAGCUACGCAGGGACUUUAGCUCGAACCUGAUUAGGUCAGUGGACACCGCCCCCAUCCCCAGGACGGGGAGGUGGCUGGGGCCACUGCAGCCACAGCAUGUGUCUGCUCACAUGGGGCUUAUUUUUAAAGGGAUUGUCCUCACCUGCUGCUGUCUGUGUUUAUAAAGUUGGCUAGAGAGGAGAAAUCUUCCUUUGCCAGUUUUCAGCUUUAGCUCUGAUAUUUGCCUGGAACAUAGUAGGUGCUCAAUAAACAAUAUCUCUGGAUAUUGUUAGUAAUAUGUGACCCUAUUUGAAGAACUCAGAAGGGGCACUGGGCAAGUCUACAAGAGAUGGCAAUUCUGUAAUUCCUGUGUGGUAUUUUCUGAAUUCUGCACAUUUUAACCUAGGCUAUGAGACAGUGUGACUUUCUUCAACAAAUUAGUUAAUUCUUCAAAUUAACUCCAAUUUCAACAGCAUGGUGAUGUUAAAGGCAUUGGAAAUUCAGCCACAGAUGUUAAAGACCAUCAGCACGGUCACAUAGUAAGAUGCUACUUUCAAGCCACGAAUAACCCAACCAGUUAUUGGUCUUAUGAAAUCUUGUAAGCCAUCCCAGAGAGACUAAUUUAAUUUUUAUGAUUCAGAAUUUGCAGGCUGUAACUGGUCAGUCCAUGCGAACUCUGGUGGCUGCAUUCAGCCCUGACAUGUUUCACCUGACUUUGAUAUAAGGAGCUACUGGAACCUUCCUACGAGUUCUAAAACCUUUCCCUCCUCCUCCUGUUCUGGAAAAGCAAUUAAGACCCAAACUAGGCAUGAAAUAAAAGUCUCUUAAAUUGAUUUAGAAUUAUUUUUAAAAAGUACCCUCACAGAAGUGGAAAAUUUUGCCAAUAGGUAGGUGUAAAAGGAAGUUUUUUGUUUUUCUAAG
RNAcentral lists this long non-coding RNA (4143 nucleotides) under Homo sapiens (human). Its description in RNAcentral is "HSALNT0215313". The record is from RNAcentral. Lineage: Eukaryota; Metazoa; Chordata; Mammalia; Primates; Hominidae.